This 67-nucleotide transfer RNA is filed under the name Aleuroplatus sp. PB-2004. RNAcentral describes it as "tRNA-Leu". The record is from RNAcentral. Lineage: Eukaryota; Metazoa; Arthropoda; Insecta; Hemiptera; Aleyrodidae.
AUUAAAUUAUCAUAAUCAAUGUUUUAAAUUUAGAAUUUAAAAAAGAAGUUCUGCCCUUCAUUUAAUA